Long non-coding RNA from Raphanus sativus (radish), 5726 nucleotides. RefSeq lists it as uncharacterized. The record is from RefSeq and is a predicted model, not a curated record. Lineage: Eukaryota; Viridiplantae; Streptophyta; Magnoliopsida; Brassicales; Brassicaceae. The transcript has 2 exons.
CAGAUUUUGUAUUAUCCAACAUAUAAACUUCUAUAUCUAUCCACUAAAGAUAAAAUAUCAAAAAAUACAAAAAUAUACACCACUUCUCGUGAGUGAAGUAUUUUCGUUUGAUUAUCAAAACACCACUUCUCGUUAUAUUUUUUCCUCCUCCAUAUAAUACUACACCAAAACAAAACAAAAAAAAAUAAGUUAGAUCCUCUCUGACAUGACUCCCGAUGAAGACUGUGUGGAAUGUUUCUAGCUGUGCUUCCAGCGUGAAUCCUCCGGCGUUUGCUCCUGGCGAACCUCCCCCGGCCCUCCUCCUGACCCUCCCGACCUCUCUUCGCCUCUCUCUCCUGUACACUUUCAUUCCCUCACUGAAACCACUACUAAUCAUGUUGCUUAUGGUCCUCCCCGCAAGGGAUCCCGUAAGGAGACUCGAGCCCAUACUACUACUGCACCUUCUCAGGAGAAGAAGCAAGUCGAAACUGCUUGCUCUGGUACCACUUCAAUGGAGAUAGAGCAAGACAACACAACCUUAUCCAUAACUGACACUGUUCCAGAAAGUAGAUCUACUCCUGCUACAGUACUCACUGAAAGUUCUGAAACUUUCACAGACCAAAACUACUCAAUCAUCCCUCCCAAAGCCUCCUCCCCCACUCAAACCAACAAAGCUUCCAACUUUAACCAAAACACCUCCCUCCUGCCCCCAUUACCUGUUACUCCCAUACCAGCUAUGACUAUUUCAGCUCUUGAGAAAAACCCUUCUCCGAACCAAACCCUUGUUGAGAAAAUGAGAACCUCUGCGGAUAUAUCCAUGUAGCGUCUUGCUCCUGUCUCCAUUGCUCCGUCUGGUCGCCCAUGAGUAGUCAUACCUGAUUCAGUUUUCAAAAAAGGAGCUGAAAUCCAUAAAGACUACAUUAUUUGCUACUUCAAUGAAAGUCUCCCCCAUUUAAUCAGAUACAGAGUGUUUUUAACAUAUGUGGAGUAAGGGCAAGAGACUCUAGAUACAUAACAAUCCUAUAAACCGUUAUGUUCUUGUGCGGAUUCAGCGUGAUUACCUCAGGCAUAAUAUUUUGGAGAAGAAUAUAUGGUACGUUGGCGAUUCGAUGUUCCAUACUGCUCAGUGGAGCUCCGAUCACUCCAGAAAUAAUCCCUCUUUGAAGGCUAUAAAGAUCUGGGCCCAUCUCACCGGUGUGCCUCUUGAUCUCCGGUAUGAUGAAAGUCUUAGUUUGGUGACUUGUCUUGUGGGUGAGCCUAGAUAAACGGAUGAGCUUACAAAGAACAUGGUCAGUUUAACAGUCUCUCAUGUCAAAGUUGAAGUAGACUUAACUGUUCCAUUACCCACUGUGGUUGAGUUCGAAAGAGAGAGAGUGGUGAAGUUGUCGAAGUCUCGGUCCACUAUCCAUGGGUUCCUCCCACUUGCUCCCAAUGCCAUGAGCUAGGCCAUAUAGUGCGUAAUUGCCUCACAUUCUCUCCUCCAGCGCCUGCAUCAAAAACGAGGGAAACUUCAUCAUCUUAGAACAAUGCAAACUCUAAAACCUCAGGAAAAAACCCAGAAAACUCCUAUAAAUUCCUCUACUACUAAAUCAUCUUUUACCCCAUCCAAAGCCUCCAAAAAAUACCAGAAAAGAAUCCCAACCUGUUAACUUUCCUCUAGCUGUUGAACCCCCUACUGUCCAGUCUCCUCUUGAACCUCCUGAUAAAACCUUAGCUACUGAGUUUCCCUCUUCCUUCUCCUCCCCUGAUCAUGUCCCUCAUCCAUCCUUAAAACGCUCAAGAUCCUCUCCAACCCUCUCCCCUCCCUUAGCUCCUUCCUUCUCCAAUUAAAACCAUUUAUUACCUAUUCAUAACCCGUUUCAGCCUCUCUCUUUCAACUCCCACCCCCCUUCCUUGGCUUUCCUUCUUCCUCCUUGCAACCCUGUUGUCCCUAUCCCAGCUAGUUUACCUUCCUCCUCUCCUUGAGGACCCUCCAAGCCCAUCCCUAUAAGUCUUAACCUAUUUUUUUGGAAUGUCCGUGACCUAAAUGAUCCGGAUAAGCACCAGCCAUUUGUAGACUGGCUUAAUAUUCAAAAUCCCCUUUUUGGAGACUUGUUAGAAACUCAUAUAAAAGAACCUCAUCUAGCAUCUAUCCUUUUGAAGAUCAGCCCUAGAUGGAAAUACCUAUCUAACUAUCUCUCGGACCCAGAUGGACGCAUUGUUCUCAUCUGGAAAGACCCUCUGGAUACUCAGCUCUUAUUCCAGUCGAGGCAGUACAUAACUUGCUUUAUCACUGUCCCAAACCAAGCUCCAAUUUACUACACUGCUAUUUAUGCUUCCAACCUUAGUGAAGAGAGAAUGGAGCUCUGGAAUGACUUGCUGCAGAAUCACUCAGCAGUUGAUCUUGAUACUAGAAACUGGAUAGUGGGGGGGGGGGAGAUUUAAAUCAGAUUCUCUUCCCAUUGAAACACUCCAGCCCAUCAAUUGAUCAAACUGAUAAUCUCAUGUAUCAAGUUCAGGACUGCUUCCUCCAAGCUGGUCUGUUUGACUUGCGUUACCUAGGGCCAUGCCACACUUGGACAAACAACCAGUCGGACUCAUCUAUCGUCAAAAAACUUGACCGCCUGCUUGUCAACAAACGCCACCAUCCUCACCCUUGUUCCUAAGUUUCCUGGAGCGUCAAAGAUAACUGAGUUCAGGCCAAUCUCACGUCUUAACACAUUUAUAAGGUCAUCUCUAGAUUGCUGGUAAAAAGAUUGAAACUAAUUCUGCCUUCUCUUAUCCUACCAUGCCAAACAACUUUUGUAAAGGGAAGGCUACUCCUAGAGAACUCAGUCCUAGCAGCUGAACUAACUAAUGGUUACCAUAAAAACAAAGGUGCAAAGAAGAUUACCAUUAAAAUCGAUAUUGCAAAGGCGUUCGACACUCUGUCGUGGGAGUUUCUGCUGUCCUAUCUCCAUGGUCUGGGCCUUCCACAACAGUUCCUUCAUUGGCUGUCCUGUUGUAUCUGCAAUACAAGUUUCAUGGUGGGUUAUAACGGUACAGUGAAUGGAUAUUUUAAAGGCACUAGAGGUCUUAGGCAAGGGGAUCCACUAUCCCCUUACCUAUUUGUACUAGCCAUGAAUUGUCUAUCUCAUAUGUUGAAUGCAGUGGCAGCUCAGACGAGGUUCAGAUUUCACACCAACUGCAAGAAAAUAAAAUUGACUCACCAACUGCAUUACUAAUGAAGAUCUUUAUACUGGAGCUUUUUUUCUAGCUACAGCACUGCACGGGUCGAUACGCACAGCGCCUAGUAUCCAUCGUUUACGGCUAGGACUACUGGGAGGGAAACAUCGAGUCAGUCUAGUGUGUUCUUCAGGUCCUCAAGGAGUUUGAAGAGCGCUCUGGAUUAGCUAUAAGCAUGCAGAAAACAAGCUUUUUUUGCUUCAAGCAUAUCUCAAGAUGAAAUUAACAGAAUUCAGGUAUCGGCGGAAAUGGCUUCUGGUAACUUACCCUUUCGAUCUCUAGGUGUGCCUUUGAACUCGAGGAAACUCUCUUUAUCCAGCUGUGAGCCAUUGUUGCACCAGAUCAAAACUCGGUUCUCUUCCUGGUCCACGAGAACUCUCUCCUUCUCGGAGAGAUUGCUGCUAUAAAGACUGUUAUUCUAGGGAUCACAACUUUCUGGUGUUCGUCAUUUAUUCUUCCUAAAGCAUGUAUUCAAAAGAUCAAUUCCAUGUGCAGUACCUUUCUGUGGAGAGGAAAUGUUGAGGCUCAUAACACAGCAAAGGUUGCUUGGACAACAAUGGUGAAAACGAAGGAUCAAGGAGGAUUAGAAGUAAAGGACCUCUAGACUUGGAACAAAGCUGCUGCAUGCGUCUGAUAUGGCUCAUCUUCUUCAGGCCACAGUCGGUUUGGGUAUCCUGGUUCAAAGAAGUCAUACUUAAAGGCUCUGUUAGUAACUAUUGGACAACAAACCCAUCUCCUAAAUUUUCUUGGUUGGCAAACAAACUACUGAAGCUGAGAAGUGUGGUUUACCCCUUGAUACAUCUGCGAAUUCAGAAUGGUGAAGCCUGUAGGUUCUGGAUAGAUAACUGGAGUCCUUUUGGGUGUCUACAAAGUUAGUUAGAUGGAGUAAGAACUCGUCUUGGCAUCCCGAAAGAAGCAACACUGGCUUCCCUGCAUCGGAAUGGGAUAUGGCGUCUUCCAGCAGCUCGAACUGACUGUCAACUACAGGUCCUCUCCUAUAUCAAAACCAUUCAAUUCAACAAAGAGUCAGACUAUUAUGAGUGGGAGAUCAAUGGGAAAAUUAGUGAUAAAUAUAGCACUGGAGAAGUUUACCAUUAUCUUAGGGGCACAGUUUCAGGAGCUAACUGGUCUAAAGUGAUCUGGUCCUCGAGAUGUAUUCCACGGCAGAGCUUCCAUGCUUGACUAGUGGUUCAGAAUAGGAUCCCAAAUCGCGACAGGAUGAUCGGUUGGGUCUGCAAACACCGUCGAUAUGCUUGCUGUGUAACGCACAUGAUAAAUCUCGAGAUCACCUUUAUUGGGACUGUGAUUUUUCGUAUCAGCUUUGGAGCAUGGUUGCAGACAGAAGCAGGAUUCGUCCACACCGGUGAUGGGAAAGCUCGCUGAGUCAGAUGAUUUCACAUCCCCCUCCUUCGACUACCCGUUCUCUGAUCCUCCUUGGAUGGCAGGCCACUCAAUACUGGAUAUGGCAGGAGUGCAACCAGCGCUUGCAUGGAAACACCUAUAGAUCCAUCGAGUCUCUCUUCUCACUAAUUGAUCAUCAGAUUAGGAACAUGAUCCAAAGUUUAUGUGAAGUAAACCCUACGAGAUCCUCCUAAAUGAUGCAGCAAUGGAUUAGGUGAUGCUCUGGUCUACCUCUUCUUCUCUCUCUCUCGAUCGAAAUUUCUGUUGGCGUUGUUCUCAAGUUUUUUUUCUCUGCAACCGGGUUGCUCUGUACUGGGCUUUUGUUGGAAUGGGCUCUUUAACUUCUGAUGGGUUGGUAUUAUAUGAGUUUCUAGAGCUAGGCUCUAUUACUAUUGCCUUGGGUUUUUAUAAAACAUCUUAUUUUUCUGCAUUUUAAUUUAAGAAAGCCAGUCAAAAAAAACAAAAAAUUAUUAAUAAUCUGAACUCAUUAUCUAUUGGUCAAAACACCUGUGUAUGGAUUACUAUCUUGACUAUUGAUAUUUUUAAUCCAAGGGUCCGAAAUAAAUCUUCUCUCUCUCUCUCUCUCUCUCUCUCACACACACACACACACACACAAUUCUCUAUGUAUAUCACCAUCUUCAAUCUCAGUUUCUCUCUGUACACAAUCACUAACAAUCUCCGCCUCCGAUUUUGGUGUUAAUAGAUCCGACAUAUCUAAUUAUAUGUCGUCAUUCACCAAAACCGCUUCAACUUCAAACCAAUCUUCAAACUCUAUUCCUCUGAAACCUUUCUCCUCUUCCUGUCGACGAAGUGCAGAUGGAGCAAGAUCCUAUAGCUCACACGAAAGAGACGGAUUGGAGAUGGAGGAAGGAAACGAGACGAAUGAAGAGGCUGCAGAGGCUGAAGACCAGAUCUGGCGGAGAGCAGGACGAUGGAGGACGUGGCUGACGGCGUGACUGAAGCUUCUAUGAUGGAGGAGGAGUUAGUGAUAGAGGCGACCGGAGUAAGCAAACAGAGGAAUUAGGGUUCUGUUAGGUUUAACUUUUUUCUGUUUAUUUUUUUGGUUUACAUGUAAACCAAAUUUGAAUUAUUUUUAUAUGUAAAUUUUUUUAAUUUAUGAAUCACGUAUAAUUCAAUUUUAA